This is a small nuclear RNA of Phyllostomus discolor (pale spear-nosed bat), 163 nucleotides long. RefSeq annotates it as U1 spliceosomal RNA. Lineage: Eukaryota; Metazoa; Chordata; Mammalia; Chiroptera; Phyllostomidae. The record is from RefSeq and is a predicted model, not a curated record. The transcript has a single exon.
AUACUUACCUGGCAGGAGACAUACCAUGAUCACAAAGGUGGUUUUCCCAGGGCGAGGCUUAGCUAUUGCACUCCAGAUGUGCUGGCCCCUGUGAUUCCCCCAAAUGUGAGAAACUCAACUACAUAAUUUGUAGUAGUGGGGACUGCAUUUGCGUUCUUUCCUG